This 440-nucleotide ribosomal RNA is filed under the name uncultured bacterium. RNAcentral describes it as "partial 16S ribosomal RNA". It matches the Rfam family "Bacterial small subunit ribosomal RNA", at positions 338 to 795 of the family's 1533-position model. The record is from RNAcentral.
CCUACGGGAGGCUGCAGUAGGGAAUAUUGCUCAAUGGGGGAAACCCUGAAGCAGCAACGCCGCGUGGAGGAUGAAGGUUUUCGGAUUGGAAACUCCUUUUGUUAGAGAAGAUAAUGACGGUAUCUAACGAAUAAGCACCGGCUAACUCCGUGACAGCAACCGCGGUAAUACGGGGGGUGAAAGCGUUACGCGGAAUCACUGGGCGUAAAGAGCGCGUAGGCGGGAUAGCAAGUCAGAUGUGAAAUCCUAUGGCUUAACCAUAGAACUGCAUUUGAAACUGUUAUUCUAGAGUAUGGGAGAGGUAGGUGGAAUGCUUGGUGUAGGGGUAAAAUCCGUAGAGAUCAAGAGGAAUACUCAUCGCGAAGGCGACCUGCUAGAACAUAACUGACGCUGAUGCGCGAAAGCGUGGGGAGCAAACAGGAGUAGAUACCCCAGUAGUC